CUCAUUAAAUCAGUUAUAGUUUAUUUGAUGGUCUCUUUUGUCUUUUUUUACCCACUUGGAUAACCGUGGUAAUUCUAGAACUAAUACAUGCGCAAGGUCCCGAGCGCGGAGGGUAGGGCUUCACGGCUCUAUCCUUGCAUGCGUAGAGGGAUGUAUUUAUUAGGUUAAACAACCAGCAUUUUCAUUUCUGGUGAUUCAUAGUAACUCUUUCGGAUCGCAUUCAUG
This 225-nucleotide ribosomal RNA is filed under the name uncultured Acanthamoeba. Its description in RNAcentral is "partial 18S ribosomal RNA". It matches the Rfam family "Eukaryotic small subunit ribosomal RNA", at positions 97 to 279 of the family's 1831-position model. Lineage: Eukaryota; Discosea; Longamoebia; Acanthamoebidae. The record is from RNAcentral.